GACGAACGCUGGCGGCGUGCUUAACACAUGCAAGUCGAACGGAAAGGCCCUGCUUUUGUGGGGUGCUCGAGUGGCGAACGGGUGAGUAACACGUGAGUAACCUGCCCUUGACUUUGGGAUAACUUCAGGAAACUGGGGCUAAUACCGGAUAGGAGCUCCUGCUGCAUGGUGGGGGUUGGAAAGUUUCGGCGGUUGGGGAUGGACUCGCGGCUUAUCAGCUUGUUGGUGGGGUAGUGGCUUACCAAGGCUUUGACGGGUAGCCGGCCUGAGAGGGUGACCGGCCACAUUAGGACUGAGAUACGGCCCAUACUCCUACGGGAGGCAGCAGUGGGGAAUAUUGCACAAUGGGCGGAAGCCUGAUGCAGCAACGCCGCGUGCGGGAUGACGGCCUUCGGGUUGUAAACCGCUUUCGCCUGUGACGAAGCGUGAGUGACGGUAAUGGGUAAAGAAGCACCGGCUAACUACGUG
This 468-nucleotide ribosomal RNA is filed under the name uncultured bacterium. RNAcentral's name for it is "partial 16S ribosomal RNA". It matches the Rfam family "Bacterial small subunit ribosomal RNA", at positions 28 to 507 of the family's 1533-position model. The record is from RNAcentral.